This 516-nucleotide ribosomal RNA is filed under the name uncultured bacterium. RNAcentral describes it as "bacterial SSU rRNA". It matches the Rfam family "Bacterial small subunit ribosomal RNA", at positions 24 to 518 of the family's 1533-position model. The record is from RNAcentral.
UCAGGACGAACGCUGGCGGCGUGCCUAACACAUGCAAGUCGAACGGGGAUUUGUUUCGGCAGAAUCCUAGUGGCGAACGGGUGAGUAACGCGUAGGCAACCUGCCCUCCGGCCGGGGACAACACUCCGAAAGGGGUGCUAAUACCGGAUACGAAGUCUGUGCCGCAUGGUACGGAUUUGAAAGAUGGCCUCUAUUUAUAAGCUAUCGCCGGGGGAUGGGCCUGCGUCCGAUUAGCUGGUUGGUGGGGUAACGGCCUACCAAGGCGACGAUCGGUAGCCGGUCUGAGAGGAUGAACGGCCACAUUGGGACUGAGACACGGCCCAGACUCCUACGGGAGGCAGCAGUGGGGAAUCUUCCGCAAUGGGCGCAAGCCUGACGGAGCAACGCCGCGUGAGUGAGGAAGUUCUUCGGAACGUAAAGCUCUGUUGUUCCUGACGAACCUCCCCUCUAUCAACAACGGAGGGGACUGACGGUAGGGAACGAGGAAGCCACGGCUAACUACGUGCCAGCCGCUGC